CAUGUAGGCGGAUAUUUAAGUCGGAUGUGAAAUCCCCGAGCUUAACUUGGGAAUUGCAUUCGAUACUGGGAAGCUAGAGUAUGGGAGAGGAUGGUAGAAUUCCAGGUGUAGCGGUGAAAUGCGUAGAGAGCUGGAGGAAUACCGAUGGCGAAGGCAGCCAUCUGGCCUAAUACUGACGCUGAGGUACGAAAGCAUGGGGAGCAAACAGGAUUAGAUACCCUUGUA
RNAcentral lists this ribosomal RNA (225 nucleotides) under uncultured Acinetobacter sp. Its description in RNAcentral is "partial 16S ribosomal RNA". It matches the Rfam family "Bacterial small subunit ribosomal RNA", at positions 568 to 792 of the family's 1533-position model. Lineage: Bacteria; Pseudomonadati; Pseudomonadota; Gammaproteobacteria; Moraxellales; Moraxellaceae. The record is from RNAcentral.